AGUUGGCCUCCGCCUCCCGCGACCCCCGGCGCCGGCGGUCUGGCCGUGCGCACCUUCGUGUCGCACUUCAGGGACCGCGCGGUGGCCGGCCACCUGACGCGGGCCGUUGAGCCCCUGCGCACCUUCUCGGUGCUGGAGCCCGGUGGGCCCGGCGGCUGCGCGGCGAGACGACGCGCCACCGUGGAGGAGACGGCGCGGGCGGCCGACUGCCGUGUCGCUCAGAACGGCGGCUUCUUCCGCAUGAACUCGGGCGAGUGCCUGGGGAACGUGGUGAGCGACGAGCGGCGGGUGAGCAGCUCCGGGGGGCUGCAGAACGCGCAGUUCGGGAUCCGCCGCGACGGGACCCUGGUCACCGGGUUCCUUUAGCAAAUUUGUGAAUGUGAUAUCAGCCAGGACGGCCAUUGGCCA
Molecule: small RNA, 408 nt
Filed under: Pan troglodytes (chimpanzee)
Lineage: Eukaryota; Metazoa; Chordata; Mammalia; Primates; Hominidae
Description: processed transcript
Source: RNAcentral